GGCCGCGGGAAUUCGAUUCAGGCCUAACACAUGCAAGUCGAACGGCAGCGCGGGUGCUUGCACCUGGUGGCGAGUGGCGAACGGGUGAGUAAUACAUCGGAACGUACCUUAUCGUGGGGGAUAACGCAGCGAAAGCUGUGCUAAUACCGCAUACGCCCUGAGGGGGAAAGCGGGGGAUCGCAAGACCUCGCGCGAUUAGAGCGGCCGAUGCCUGAUUAGCUAGUUGGUGGGGUAAAAGCCCACCAAGGCGACGAUCAGUAGCUGGUCUGAGAGGACGAUCAGCCACACUGGGACUGAGACACGGCCCAGACUCCUACGGGAGGCAGCAGUGGGGAAUUUUGGACAAUGGGGGCAACCCUGAUCCAGCAAGGCCGCGUGAGUGAAGAAGGCCUUCGGGUGUAAAUUUAAGAGUCAGGGAAGAAACACCGGCUCUAACACAGUCC
Molecule: ribosomal RNA, 443 nt
Filed under: uncultured bacterium
Lineage: Bacteria
Description: bacterial SSU rRNA
Rfam family: Bacterial small subunit ribosomal RNA
Source: RNAcentral